AAUUCUGUAUUCUACUUUCCAAUGUCACAGGAACAUUCUGUUAUUAGUUAGUUACUAUUUUAUAAUUUGAGUUUUUAGCCAUUUAGCUCCAUUCACCUCCAUUCAUACAGUACUCACUCGUGGCUCCCCCUAGCGGGUGGGAUAAAACAGGGAGACAGGAAGUGAGCAGGUCUCCAUAAACCAGCUCUGUUUGGCUACGUGUUUGCAGGAUUGUCCAAUCACACGUCGGGUAAUGGCUGCACGAUUUGGCGACUCAGCCAAUCGCAUACCAGGCGUUUUCAGUUUAAAAAUCUACCGCAAACCGUUCCAGUAUCGCAUACAGCGCGAGAGAGUCUGACUGCAGUCAGUGACUGUCCUUCCAGAUCACUGAUUUAUCUGUGCAGCUCACCGGACUCACAGAAGAGUUUCCCCAGCAUUCAGUCCCGGAGGAGCAGCUAACAAACAAAACUGUUAAAACUGCGCAAAUAGCAAGAGGACUGCACAGUGAAGCAAAUUGCAGAAAAUAUGAUCUGGAACAUGGAAUAUGCUCACCUUACAAUGAGAGAGUGACCUCCUAUUUAGUGAAAUCUAUUCUGGGGAGCCUACAUUUGCAGAGACCAACUUUGAAAUACUUUGAGCUACUACCUCCAGCUACAGCAGUAAAGAGUUCAAGCGCCAGAAAAGAAAGGGUAUCCAAACAGAAUCCUUUAUGAUGAGUACAAGUAUUGCCACAAGUCCUUUGGAUGCACCAUGAGGGCCUGUUCACUCUGUGCUCUAUAAGUUCCUUGGGUAGAUGAAGAGGAGGAAGAAGAAGAAAGUGACCUCUGCACAACACCAACUGAACCCCAGUCCUCCACCUAUGAUCCAGCGCAGUCAAUAAGCAGUGUAAUAAAAUCAUAACAGAUUGCCUGAUGAUACAGCUACACAUGGAUACAAAGACUCUAAAUGCAUAGAAGAACCUCAUGGAACUUUUUUUAAAACUUGUCCUGUCUGCAGCCAGGUAUCAAAUUUCAAAAGUCAAAAAGGCCACUCUGCCAAGUACGGAACUUACAGUGUGAUGAAUCUGAAGACCAACAGCAUCAUCAACAUUCAACGAAUACAG
Astyanax mexicanus (Mexican tetra) is the source of this 1081-nucleotide long non-coding RNA. RefSeq lists it as uncharacterized. The transcript has 7 exons. The record is from RefSeq and is a predicted model, not a curated record. Lineage: Eukaryota; Metazoa; Chordata; Actinopteri; Characiformes; Acestrorhamphidae.